This 103-nucleotide non-coding RNA is filed under the name Paraurantiacibacter namhicola. RNAcentral's name for it is "Altererythrobacter namhicola Glycine sequence". It matches the Rfam family "Glycine riboswitch aptamer". From Rfam's summary of the family: This family represents the bacterial glycine riboswitch. Glycine riboswitches usually consist of two metabolite-binding aptamers domains with similar structures in tandem. The record is from Rfam by way of RNAcentral. Lineage: Bacteria; Pseudomonadati; Pseudomonadota; Alphaproteobacteria; Sphingomonadales; Erythrobacteraceae.
CACCGGCACUCUGGAAAGCGCCCUGCCUGGCAGGGCCACCGAAGGUGUAAGCGCGGGCAUUCCCCGCGUCAGGCUCUCAGGUUUUCCCGACAGAGGGGGUGUG